This 2898-nucleotide unclassified non-coding RNA is filed under the name Schistocerca americana (American grasshopper). RNAcentral's name for it is "fAST kinase domain-containing protein 1, mitochondrial, transcript variant X2". The record is from RNAcentral. Lineage: Eukaryota; Metazoa; Arthropoda; Insecta; Orthoptera; Acrididae.
UUGUGUGAAGUGUGGUGUGCUCGUGGUGUUCCGAACAUGAUGAAGGUGAAAAGUAAACAAAGCUGCAUUUCAGUGAUGACAUUCGCUCGAUUGUUGUUCGAAAUCGACUAGGAUGUUACUUGUAAGGAGAAGACUAACCAGUGUUAUUUGAGGGAUUCGCUGUGAUCAGAUAAUUGUAGAUCUAAGAUACAACACUAGCAGAGAGGAGAGCAGGGAACGAACUAUAUGUUGUUAUUCACAUGUAUCAUUUAAGAGAUUUGUAUGAUGUGUGCAUGGCAAAGGUUUGGUUCAACAAUAAUGGAAAGAAACAUACGCCUGACAUAUAAUUUACUCCAUGAGAGAUGUAUGAGAAUAUGUGCCGUUCUGAGCACUGUAAAAUCACCACAUUGCCGAAUUCACAGGGGUAACAAUCAGACUGCAGUUGAAGUUAUGAGCAAGAAUCUUUCUCUUAGAUAUUUAGCACAUUCUGCAGACACUGAUGACAGCGAGUCAGAUGAAUUUAGUGAACAGGAUGAUGAUCCAGACUAUGAAAAACUUAAGGAAAUGAGUGAAUCUUUGAGAAACUUCUUGUAUCCAGAUUCUGAAGACCCUCUGUUGCUCAAAUUGAAGACCUGUAUGUCAGUACAGGAAGUAUUUAAUAUUAUUAGACCCACAGAGCUUCAACUUACUUCCCAACAUGUGAGCCAAGCUGUGUUAGUGCUGUGGGAUCUGCAGAAAAUAUUUUACAGGGUGUAUGCCAAAGAAGAAGACGAGGCUAAGUUUUAUAACCCAGCAGUAGGCACAUCAGACUCACUGAGACAUUAUAUUAAUGUUGUCAGUAAUCAUGAAGAUUUUAAAUAUUUGAUAGAGCUUGUAAAUAGAACUUAUCUUCAAAUGACACCUGAUGCUGCAACAUGUACAUUACUGUAUUUAAGAAAGAUGGACGUACGCUUGACACAUCCAGUUAUGCAAAAUUUAGUAGCAUAUUGUGCUUCACUCAUUGAGUCGUUAUCAACACAUUUUCCACUUACUGCCUUAUCCAGAUUUACAGUGGCAGUUUAUAUACCAAAUAGUAUUUGGACAUGCAUGAUUCUAAAAGAAGUUAUUCCACUCAUUUACAGUGCACUAGAUAGAUGUGAAAAUAUACAAGACUUCCACUUAAUAACAGUGUGCAUGAAAAAUGCACAUGCUCUGCUGAACUGGUCUUUUAUAAAAUUAUACAAGGAAAUAGCUGAGGGACUCGUGUCAAGAGGAGAAAUGACAGCUCAGGGGACAAGGACAAUUCUUAAGGCUGCUGUAUUUCUCAGUCUUCCACAAUGGUCACAAAAAAAUGCUUCAACAAUAAAGAUUCUGUUGUUGUCUUUGAAGGGAAAAGUCUCAGAACUAACUCCAGAGGAGUUGUUUAUGCUGCAUAAGGUUUUUGUCAGUCAUCUGGAGCCUGCUGAUCUCUUGGAAGAAAUAAAAUCAUGUGCGAAUAAGUUUCUUUCAAGAAUAAGUAAUGAUGACAGCAGGUCUGCAGCAACAUUGGAAGCAACUGCAAAACUUCUUUCUUGUGUGGUUCCCUUUUCACCACCAUCAAAGAAAAAUGUUUUUGAAGAACUGGCAAGGCAGCAUAUUCAAGAUAGCGUCUUCUCAUCUUCUCUCCCAACAGUUUUCAAAUUGAUGUGGCACCUGAAAACACAUGACACACGUCUGUGUGAUGCCUUUUGGAAUAAAAUGCUCCAAGAUUUAGAAAACUCUGAAGCAGAAAGGGAAGGCUCCCAGUUGCUGAGAACUGCAUAUAGGUACAUACAUUUCAGUAACAGUCUUGGUGGAAAGUAUAGGCAUUUUGAGUUUGAAAGAAGCUUGCUUCAGUGGCUACUGCAUGAAAUGGAAAAUGGUCUGUCUGGUAUAAUUCCAUCAAAAUUCGCAAUGAUAGCAGCAUUUUUGUUAGCUUUUGGAAACACUUUCCAAGGAGAAGUUAUUGAUGAGCUUUUUAUUGCAAGAGUAGUUGACAGAUUGGUUGAAAUGGCACCACAGUUUACUUCAGUUGACUGCUUGAAUAUAUCUAGAGGAUUUCAACGUGGAGUGGAAAUGUGUUAUAAGAAGGGUGCUCAUAAAAUUUUGUUAACUCAGUAUGCAAAAGUUAAUUCUGUACUUAAUACUUGUGCUCAGAGGCAUUUGAGUGAGAAAAACUUGGACAUUGUAACUAUUAAUGUGAUAGGAAGAGCAUUUGUUAAUCCCAGAAGCAGCUCGCAGACUGAUAUUUUUGAACACAUCAUUGAUGGAUAUGAAAAAUGUAAUGAUCCACUAUCAUCAAGGAUAAUACGAGAUGCAGUUUGGAACUUUCGCAGCUUCGACUACUUGGCACCUACAACAGUUGACAGAAUGGUGGACUAUAUUACACAUAAUAAGGCACAUGUACUUGCUGAAACUGCAGAAAAAUUGCUCACCCUUUGUUAUGUGCAUGGCUAUACACCCACCGGUGCAGGUUCUUUUUUUUCUGCAAUGAUAGAUCUUAUUCUCAGGGACAGAGAUUUCAUGGUUAGUCUAGCAGUCAUUCGUUCAUCUCUUGCUCUCUGCUUUUACAACAGUUUGCCAAAGGCUUUAAUUCAUUAUAUUUUCACUGUUGACUUUCUGGAGUGGAUUGAAGCAGAGUUGUCACAGUGCUAUUCGAAGUUGGUGAUUCUGCUGAAUUGCAGGAUACUUAUCCUGUCCGUGUUCGUCAUAAUUUGAUGGAGCUUAACCGUGCAGUUUGUUUGGAUUAUCCUGAUGCUGAUGUACCUUGGUUUCAUAAAAAAUACUGCCAGGAACUUGCUGUUUCAGAACCAAAACUCAAGUCCGUCUUCCAGCAAGAUGUGCUGAAGCAUCUCAUCACAGUUGUGGGUGGAAAACAGUUUAUAGAAUCAGAUGUGUUUUCACCAUAUUCAUAUAAAAUUG